RNAcentral lists this ribosomal RNA (468 nucleotides) under uncultured bacterium. RNAcentral describes it as "partial 16S ribosomal RNA". It matches the Rfam family "Bacterial small subunit ribosomal RNA", at positions 28 to 507 of the family's 1533-position model. The record is from RNAcentral.
GACGAACGCUGGCGGCGUGCUUAACACAUGCAAGUCGAACGGAAAGGCCCUGCUUGCAGGGUGCUCGUGUGGCGAACGGGUGAGUAACACGUGGGUGAUCUGCACCUUUCUUUGGGUUAAGCCUGGGAAACUGGGUCUAAUACUGGAUAGGUUCAUGCUGUAGGUGGCGUGGUGGCAAGAUUAGUUUCGGUAAGGGAUGAGCUCGCGGCCUAUCAGCUUGGUGGAGGGGUAAUGGCAUACCAAGGCGUCGAGGGGUAGCCGUCCUGAGAGGCUGGACGACCACAUUGGGGCUGAGAUACGGCCCACACUCCUGCGGGGUGCAGCAGUGGAGAAUAUAACACAGUUGGCGCAAGCCUGAUGCAGCGACGGCGCGUGGUGGGUGACUGCCUUCGUGUUGUAAGCACCUUUCAGCCAUGACGAAGCCGGCGGGUGACGGUAGUGGUAGAAUAAGCACCGGCUAGCUACGUG